Molecule: RNase P RNA, 367 nt
Filed under: Tannerella sp.
Lineage: Bacteria; Pseudomonadati; Bacteroidota; Bacteroidia; Bacteroidales; Tannerellaceae
Description: RNase P RNA component class A
Rfam family: Bacterial RNase P class A
About the family: Ribonuclease P (RNase P) is a ubiquitous endoribonuclease, found in archaea, bacteria and eukarya as well as chloroplasts and mitochondria.
Source: RNAcentral
GCAGCAGACCGGUCUGUCGCUCGCCUGUUGAGGCGGGAGGAAAGUCCGGGCAACGCAGAGCGCCAUCCUUCUUAACGGGAAGCUAUUCGCAAGGGUAGAGUAAUGUAACAGAAAAUUACCGCCUCGCAUGUCGAGGUAAGGGUGAAAAGGUGAGGUAAGAGCUUACCGCUUCUGCCGGAAUGCAGAGGGUCAGUACGUCUGAUGGGUUGUAAGGUCAUGUAUACCGGCGUAUGUAGGACGGCUCGUCCGAUGUCGGGGGGUAGACCGCUAUGAAUUUGUCGGCAACGGCAAAUCAAGAUAAAUGACAGGCAUUUCCUUCCCGCUUGGGUUGGAUUUACAGAACCCGGCUUACAGGUCGGCUGCUUUU